RNAcentral lists this ribosomal RNA (478 nucleotides) under uncultured bacterium. RNAcentral's name for it is "partial 16S ribosomal RNA". It matches the Rfam family "Bacterial small subunit ribosomal RNA", at positions 28 to 523 of the family's 1533-position model. The record is from RNAcentral.
GACGAACGCUGGCGGCGUGCUUAACACAUGCAAGUCGAACGGUAAGGCCCUUCGGGGUACACGAGUGGCGAACGGGUGAGUAACACGUGGGUGAUCUGCCCUGCACUUCGGGAUAAGCCUGGGAAACUGGGUCUAAUACCGGAUAGGACCACUGCCUGCAUGGGUGGUGGUGGAAAGCUUUUGCGGUGUGGGAUGGGCCCGCGGCCUAUCAGCUUGUUGGUGGGGUGAUGGCCUACCAAGGCGACGACGGGUAGCCGGCCUGAGAGGGUGACCGGCCACACUGGGACUGAGAGACGGCCCAGACUCCUACGGGAGGCAGCAGUGGGGAAUAUUGCACAAUGGGCGCAAUCCUGAUGCAGCGACGCCGCGUGAGGGAUGACGGCCUUCGGGUUGUAAACCUCUUUCAGCACCGACGAAGCGCAAGUGACGGUAGGUGCAGAAGAAGGACCGGCCAACUACGUGCCAGCAGCCGCCGCAG